UUAAAAUAAAAAUUAAUAUGAGGUUCUCUAAUCUAUUAAAUUAGAUUUUUUUAAUCGUAGCGUAAGAUUUCAUUUUAUUGUAAAAAAAAUUCAUUCAUCUUAGUCAUCAAAGAAAAUAGAGCAUUGAGAUACCAGUUAGAGAAGAAGAAAGAGAAGAAGAAGAAGAAGAUGAAAAGAGAGGUUGUGGUGAGGUUCAAUCAGGGGUUUGGGUUUAAUGGUGGUGGAGGUGGUGGUGGGAAAGAUGACGGAGCUACUGCUAGAGGCAGCUUGGUUGGAUUUUGGAUGCAAUUGUUUCCAUUUGCGUACUCUCUUUCAUUUAGCAACUGAUUUGGGGUUCUUCUCACAAAUCUUAGUUCCUUUACAUUUCUGAAAAAAAAAACAGCUCCUUGCAGUGCUUGUAGCAAUUGUUGGUGUGGGUGCUUUUCUGUGGUGGGCAAGGCAGGAUAUGGUUCAAGACAGUGUAAGGCUACUUCUAUUUUUUCUCUUGCUCACUUCUUAAAGCUCAUAGUUUUCUUCAAAUGUGGUAUCAAACAUCUGUUGUUGCCUAGUUAAAACACAACCCAAGUUGUUGAGUGCCUUAAGUUCCAUGCUCUCAAUUUAAUUUCCAUGUUGGCACCUACAAGUGACUGGUAAAACCUUUUUAAUUAUUUAUGUCAGGUUCAAUUAUUUUUUAAAAAUAUAUUAGGUCUUACAUGAUGUUUUGGCAUUUGUGGACGGUUAAUUUAUCAAUCUACAGAUCUUCUAGUGGAUAGUGUACCGUGUACCGAAAUGCUCUAUGAUUUUCUUUUAUUUGGAGUUGACAAUUAAGUAAUGUUGGUGUGCUCUUGAUUUCAAAAAACUGUAUCACAGGUGGUAUAUAAACAGGUAAUCUGGAUUGGUGUUGGAUAGUUUCCAUGAAUAGGCAUGUAGAAAUCUAUUGUGUUAUAAUGAGUUCAUGCUUUCCCAUGUGAGAUGUAUCAGAUAAAUGCAUGAUAUGUAUAGGAUGUUUGGAAAGGGUUUAAGUACGCAAGUGAUACUCUUUCAUGUAACAAUUCACAAACGCUUCAUCUACAUCUUGUAAUUAAGUAAUGUCAGAGUAACAUCAUGAGGGUGAUUUUCAAUUGUGAAGUUUUAUUUAUUUCUUACUCUGAUGUCUUCUGCUUUUAAUGAACAACAACCAUUGUUCCCAUAAAGUGCCAUAUAGUGAGGACUUGAGAAAAUGGUUAUGCGCCAUAUGUUGUUCCCAUAAAGUGCCAUAUAGUAAGGAUGGAUUUCCCAUAAAGGUUUUCUUAUACUGUGUUGCUCGUGAUCUUCUAAUUGCUCGUGAUCUUCUAAUUGCUCGUGAUCUUCUAAGUGCUAGAUAACUUAGUUCAUUUUGAGUAUUUUUAGUUUUAAAUGUAAUUUUUAUUGUGAUUUAAAUAUCAUGUUACAAUGGAUAGAUUUGCAGGUUGUAUGUAAUUAUAUUUAUUUUAAUUAGUUUGCAA
Molecule: long non-coding RNA, 1463 nt
Organism: Prunus persica (peach)
Lineage: Eukaryota; Viridiplantae; Streptophyta; Magnoliopsida; Rosales; Rosaceae
Exons: 2
Source: RefSeq, a predicted model, not a curated record